This 252-nucleotide long non-coding RNA is filed under the name Elaeis guineensis (African oil palm). RNAcentral's name for it is "long non-coding RNA (EGUI_LNC027678)". Lineage: Eukaryota; Viridiplantae; Streptophyta; Magnoliopsida; Arecales; Arecaceae. The record is from RNAcentral.
UUGGCUAUCUUUUAAACUUUCUACUCAUUUCACAAAAAUAAGGCUUCAUUCAGCCUUCAAAAUGCUUUAAUGAGUCAUCAUUUCAUUCUUCCGCACAAACAUGACACUUUGCAUGUAACUAAACAAUCAUCUUCCUUAGCGUGCCUUAGGGUUUUCUCAAGUCUUGGCUUGGGGAAUAAAGAUAUCUUGACCAAAAAGUUUGUGAGUUUACCCUCAAUAGAUCUAUAUUAACAGAUAAUGAGUUAAGAUACC